AUAUGAUACUUUCUUAUAGUCAAACAAACAUAUAAAAAUUAUUUUUUUAAUAUCACAUAGCUUCCUAGAAAAAUAUUUCAGGGAAUAUUUUUUUUUUCACGAACCAAAUAAGUCCUAUAUGGUCCUGAAGUCUAAUGCAUAUGCUCGACUCAAAAGCCUCCCUAUGAGCACCUUUACUAAAUAGGAGUGUGCAUAGGUUGGAU
Molecule: long non-coding RNA, 203 nt
Filed under: Elaeis guineensis (African oil palm)
Lineage: Eukaryota; Viridiplantae; Streptophyta; Magnoliopsida; Arecales; Arecaceae
Description: long non-coding RNA (EGUI_LNC023375)
Source: RNAcentral